GCCGGGUGUGGUGGCUCACACCUGUAAUCCCAGCACUUCUGGAGGCUGAGGUGGGUGGAUCACCUGAGGUCAGGAGUUCUAGACCAGCCUGGCCAACACGGCGAAACCCCGUCUCUA
Molecule: non-coding RNA, 117 nt
Organism: Gorilla gorilla gorilla (western lowland gorilla)
Lineage: Eukaryota; Metazoa; Chordata; Mammalia; Primates; Hominidae
Rfam family: Metazoan signal recognition particle RNA
About the family: The signal recognition particle (SRP) is a universally conserved ribonucleoprotein. It is involved in the co-translational targeting of proteins to membranes.
Source: Rfam